Molecule: non-coding RNA, 568 nt
Organism: Carica papaya (papaya)
Lineage: Eukaryota; Viridiplantae; Streptophyta; Magnoliopsida; Brassicales; Caricaceae
Source: RefSeq, a predicted model, not a curated record
UCCUAUUCCUCUUACAUUUUUACAUACAAUUUUUUACUGCAUUUUGCAUUAAUAUUGUCUUCUUCGUGGCCUUUAUAAGUUUUGGAAUAUUUCUUACCUGGAUACCCUAAUUUGCUUUUUGAUAUUUAUUGUUGUGCACUGCUUGUACACAUUGCCGGGAUUAAGUAUAGAGUACACCUUUUAUUGAGAGUAGAACAGAGAAAAUCACCUGCAGUACUUUUGCACGGGCUUUUGACCAUUAUCGAUCUACCCUGCCUGGUUACUGAUGACUGACCACAAACCUGUGUGAUUUAGUGUUCUCCACUGUUUAACAGUGUGUUAACAUAAUUGGUUCAAUUCCCGAUUACUGAUGGGUUUCUUCCAUAACCAAAAAAAGGAUCACUGCUGACUGUACCCAAGAAGUUAUUACAUUUGAAAAAUUUUCUUUACACACUUGCAACUGUUUUGAGAUCCAAUGUAUAUCUCAGUGGAGGCCACUUGCUAUCAUGUGCUGGAUGCUGCCUCUUCUUUUAAGCAGCAUGAUGUAAACUCUUUCGGUCUGGUUAGUAAGUGUAAUACCCAAGUAAAA